RNAcentral lists this unclassified non-coding RNA (345 nucleotides) under soil metagenome. RNAcentral's name for it is "partial contains 5.8S ribosomal RNA, internal transcribed spacer 2, and large subunit ribosomal RNA". The stretch from base 1 to 120 matches the Rfam family "5.8S ribosomal RNA", at positions 35 to 154 of the family's 154-position model. The record is from RNAcentral.
GAUGAAGAACGUAGCGAAAUGCGAUAAGUAGUGUGAAUUGCAGAAUUCCGUGAAUCAUCGAAUCUUUGAACGCACAUUGCGCCUCCUGGUAGUCCGGGAGGCAUGCCUGUUCGAGCGUCACCAAAUCCAACUCAAGCGGUUUUGCGCUUGGUCGUGGCGGAAGAGUCGGUCUGGUUGCCGUCUCCCCUCCGAAAAUCAACGGCGGAAAGUCACUGGCAGUCAGCGUAGUAGUAUCGUUCGCCGAACAUCCAGUGGCAUUCGCCGACGUACCCCCACAAUUCUCGUGAUUGACCUCGGAUCAGGUAGGGAUACCCGCUGAACUUAAGCAUAUCAAUAAGCGGAGGA